AGUGAACGCUGGCGGUAGGCCUAACACAUGCAAGUCGAACGGCAGCACAGUAAGAGCUUGCUCUUACGGGUGGCGGGUGGCGGACGGGUGAGGAAUACAUCGGAAUCUACUUUUUCGUGGGGGAUAACGUAGGGAAACUUACGCUAAUACCGCAUACGACCUACGGGUGAAAGCAGGGGAUCUUCGGACCUUGCGCGAUUGAAUGAGCCGAUGUCGGAUUAGCUAGUUGGCGGGGUAAAGGCCCACCAAGGCGACGAUCCGUAGCUGGUCUGAGAGGAUGAUCAGCCAAACUGGAACUGAGACACGGUCCAGACUCCUACGGGAGGCAGCAGUGGGGAAUAUUGGACAAUGGGCGCAAGCCUGAUCCAGCCAUACCGCGUGGGUGAAGAAGGCCUUCGGGUUGUAAAGCCCUUUUGUUGGGAAAGAAAAGCAGCAGGUUAAUACCCCGCUGUUCCGACGGUACCCAAAGAAUAAGCACCGGCUAACUUCGUG
Molecule: ribosomal RNA, 492 nt
Filed under: uncultured bacterium
Lineage: Bacteria
Description: partial 16S ribosomal RNA
Rfam family: Bacterial small subunit ribosomal RNA
Source: RNAcentral